CAGGUCGAGCGGACCGACGGGAGCUUGCUCCCUUAGGUCAGCGGCGGACGGGUGAGUAACACGUGGGUAACCUGCCUGUAAGACUGGGAUAACUCCGGGAAACCGGGGCUAAUACCGGAUGCUUGAUUGAACCGCAUGGUUCAAUCAUAAAAGGUGGCUUUUAGCUACCACUUACAGAUGGACCCGCGGCGCAUUAGCUAGUUGGUGAGGUAACGGCUCACCAAGGCGACGAUGCGUAGCCGACCUGAGAGGGUGAUCGGCCACACUGGGACUGAGACACGGCCCAGACUCCUACGGGAGGCAGCAGUAGGGAAUCUUCCGCAAUGGACGAAAGUCUGACGGAGCAACGCCGCGUGAGUGAUGAAGGUUUUCGGAUCGUAAAACUCUGUUGUUAGGGAAGAACAAGUACCGUUCGAAUAGGGCGGCACCUUGACGGUACCUAACCAGAAAGCCACGGCUAACUACGUGCCAGCAGCCGCGGUAAUACGUAGGUGGCAAGCGUUGUCCGGAAUUAUUGGGCGUAAAGCGCGCGCAGGCGGUUUCUUAAGUCUGAUGUGAAAGCCCCCGGCUCAACCGGGGAGGGUCAUUGGAAACUGGGGAACUUGAGUGCAGAAGAGGAGAGUGGAAUUCCACGUGUAGCGGUGAAAUGCGUAGAGAUGUGGAGGAACACCAGUGGCGAAGGCGACUCUCUGGUCUGUAACUGACGCUGAGGCGCGAAAGCGUGGGGAGCGAACAGGAUUAGAUACCCUGGUAGUCCACGCCGUAAACGAUGAGUGCUAAGUGUUAGAGGGUUUCCGCCCUUUAGUGCUGCAGCAAACGCAUUAAGCACUCCGCCUGGGGAGUACGGUCGCAAGACUGAAACUCAAGGAAUUGACGGGGGCCCGCACAAGCGGUGGAGCAUGUGGAUUAAUUCGAAGCAACGCGAAGAACCUUACCAGGUCUUGACAUCCUCUGACAACCCUA
This 963-nucleotide ribosomal RNA is filed under the name uncultured prokaryote. Its description in RNAcentral is "bacterial SSU rRNA". It matches the Rfam family "Bacterial small subunit ribosomal RNA", at positions 58 to 1002 of the family's 1533-position model. The record is from RNAcentral.